AUUGAACGCUGGCGGCAUGCCUAACACAUGCAAGUCGAACGGAAACACGACAAGGGAUGCUGACUAGUGGUGACGGGGUGAGUAAUAGUUCGGAAUGUAUCUAGUACUUGUGGAUCACUGCUCGCAACAGUAGCCAAUACCGCAUAAGAUCUAAUGAUUAAAACAGGGGACCUCAGGGGCUUGUGCUACUAUUGCGGCUGAUGGUAGAUUAGUUAGUUGUUGGGGUAAAGGCUUACCAAGCCAACGAUAUGUAGCUGGUCUGAGAGGACGAUCAGCCACACUGGAACUGAGACACGGUCCAGACUCCUACGGGAGGCAGCAGUGGGGAAUCUUGGACAAUGGGCGAAAGCCUGAUCCAGCAAUGCCGCGUGAGUGAUGAAGGCCUUCGGGUUGUAAAACGCUUUUGUUAGGAAAGAAAAGCAGGGGGCUAAUAUCCCCGGGUCAUGACGGUACCGAAAGAAUAAGCACCGGCUAACUACGUG
This 482-nucleotide ribosomal RNA is filed under the name uncultured bacterium. RNAcentral's name for it is "partial 16S ribosomal RNA". It matches the Rfam family "Bacterial small subunit ribosomal RNA", at positions 30 to 507 of the family's 1533-position model. The record is from RNAcentral.